UGAGGCAGGAGGCUGGACUGAAUGGCUGGAAGAUGUUCCUUCUUUAAGGACAGGACUGAGAAUGUGUGGGUGGUGCCGGCGGAGUGCAAUGGAGCGGCAGUCCUAGGUGGAGAGUCAGACCCAGAACUAAGUGUUGGUGUUCACAAGUUCACAGGAGUUCUCCUGAUCCCUGGGAGAUUCGCUCAUGGCUCAGCAGAGUGGUCCUGAAUUCGAUGAUGGGUGUCCUUAGAAGAGAAAGGCAGAGGAAGAUUUGACACAGAGACACGGAGCAUAAGGCCAUUGGAAGACAGAGGCAGAGACUGGAAUGAUGCAGCCACAGCCAAGGAUCGUGUGGAGCCACCAGGAGCUGGAAGAGCCUGGCAAAGAUUCUCCUAGGGCCUCCAGAGGGAGUGA
Capra hircus (goat) is the source of this 393-nucleotide long non-coding RNA. RefSeq lists it as uncharacterized. The transcript is spliced from 3 exons. The record is from RefSeq and is a predicted model, not a curated record. NCBI's taxonomy places the organism in Eukaryota, Metazoa, Chordata, Mammalia, Artiodactyla, Bovidae.